UCCGCAUCCACGUCCGCGAGCCGCGCGGGUA
RNAcentral lists this small RNA (31 nucleotides) under Bombyx mori (domestic silkworm). Its description in RNAcentral is "ovarian small RNA-3366". The record is from RNAcentral. Lineage: Eukaryota; Metazoa; Arthropoda; Insecta; Lepidoptera; Bombycidae.